CGAACGGAAGGCCCUUCGGGGUACUCGAGUGGCGAACGGGUGAGUAACACGUGGGUGAUCUGCCCUGCACUUCGGGAUAAGCCUGGGAAACUGGGUCUAAUACCGGAUAUGACCACAUGAUGCAUGUCGUGUGGUGGAAAGCUUUUGCGGUGUGGGAUGGGCCCGCGGCCUAUCAGCUUGUUGGUGGGGUCACGGCCUACCAAGGCGACGACGGGUAGCCGGCCUGAGAGGGUGACCGGCCACACUGGGACUGAGAUACGGCCCAGACUCCUACGGGAGGCAGCAGUGGGGAAUAUUGCACAAUGGGCGCAAGCCUGAUGCAGCGACGCCGCGUGAGGGACGACGGCCUUCGGGUUGUAAACCUCUUUCAGCACAGACGAAGCGCGAGUGACGGUAUGUGCAGAAGAAGGACCGGCCAACUACGUGCCAGCAGCCGCGGUAAUACGUAGGGUCCGAGCGUUGUCCGGAAUUACUGGGCGUAAAGAGCUCGUAGGUGGUUUGUCGCGUUGUUCGUGAAAACUCACAGCUCAACUGUGGGCGUGCGGGCGAUACGGGCAGACUAGAGUACUGCAGGGGAGACUGGAAUUCCUGGUGUAGCGGUGGAAUGCGCAGAUAUCAGGAGGAACACCGGUGGCGAAGGCGGGUCUCUGGGCAGUAACUGACGCUGAGGAGCGAAAGCGUGGGGAGCGAACAGGAUUAGAUACCCUGGUAGUCCACGCCGUAAACGGUGGGUACUAGGUGUGGGUUUCCUUCCUUGGGAUCCGUGCCGUAGCUAACGCAUUAAGUACCCCGCCUGGGGAGUACGGCCGCAAGGCUNAAACUCAAAGAAAUUGACGGGGGNCCGCACNAGCGGCGGAGCAUGUGGAUUAAUUCGAUGCAACGCGAAGAA
This 889-nucleotide ribosomal RNA is filed under the name Mycolicibacterium hodleri. Its description in RNAcentral is "bacterial SSU rRNA". It matches the Rfam family "Bacterial small subunit ribosomal RNA", at positions 63 to 968 of the family's 1533-position model. Lineage: Bacteria; Bacillati; Actinomycetota; Actinomycetes; Mycobacteriales; Mycobacteriaceae. The record is from RNAcentral.